This is a long non-coding RNA of Aquila chrysaetos chrysaetos, 5920 nucleotides long. RefSeq lists it as uncharacterized. The record is from RefSeq and is a predicted model, not a curated record. The transcript has 3 exons. Lineage: Eukaryota; Metazoa; Chordata; Aves; Accipitriformes; Accipitridae.
GGACUCCAGUAGUCAAAUGAACUCAUGAUAAAUGGAAGUAUUGGCUCAUUAAAUAUUGCUUUGGAUUUUGCCCUUGGGAAGGCUACAGUUUCAUAGUGUAGUUGUGAUUUGAGAUGGUCCAAGUUCUGCUUUGGUUUUCUUUUUUUUUUUUCUUUCACAGAUUUCUCUGGGUUCAAAGCUGCUUUCAGUUGCGAGCUGUUAAAACAAUUUCCAGCAAACUGUCGCAGCCCAUCCUUGUGUGUUUAUGAAAUAGCAAAAGCACCUUUAUUUUGUUUUCUGCUGUUUCAAAACCAGGCUUGGGUGUGACAUUUGUAGUAUCUGCUCUUUGCUUUCUGCUGUUUCUGCUGAGGAGUGUGGUGGGACGUCUGGAAGCUGUGAAUUAUGAAGGCAAGCUGCGCUAAAGCCUGGCUUAAUUUAAAAAUACAGCAGUUAGAAAAACACAUCACCUCGCUCCCACUUCUCCCCUAGCUCAUGAAGUAAUCAUAUUCUGAAUGAAUUUGAAUGGAUAAAUCCCAUCUAUUUCUCUGGGCCCAUGGAUAGGGCGCUCUGCCUGUCCCAGCCAGCCAGGCUGUGUCCCCCAAGGCAUCAAAACCAUGGAGCAGUCAGUGAACUCAAGUAUUAAACUCCCAGCAAAAGGCAAAACAGGAGGGGGGUAAGGCCAUUCCGCUUUUGCUUUCUGGAAGUGCAUAUGGAUGGCUGCCUUUUCUUCCUCUGUAUCCCAAGGGUUUAACUCCUGGCUGCCCUGGGUCUUAGGUUUGCCUGCUGCCUGGGUAGGUGCAGCUACAGAGCACAAAUAAGCAGAGGCUUCAAAUGAAACAAAUCAGGAACUGAAAUGAGAAUCUCACUGUGGCGUGGCAUUAAAUCCUUCAAUUGCAUUAGUCUGAGUGGAAAGUCAGAAACCUGCAUCCCGAGAUUAAAAAUAACUGCCUUCAUGAGAGCAGCGAGAAUGCCCACUAAUUGUUGGUUUACAGGAGAAAAGCAGAAACACGCUCAAAAAUUGGCUCACAAUAGCAGUUGCUGUAUCAUAAUCUCCUGGUUCCUUUCUUGCCUUACUAAUAAGAAGUAAGACUAAUUUAAUUUUUACAGCGUCCCAAAUCUGUGGCUAUACAAUUCAGAGACUUAAUAAGAUUCUCCUGCUGAGCCAAGAAAAGCUUAGUGGUUUUUAGCUUACUUUCUUCUUCUGGGUUUCAGUUUUGGGACAUAUGUACAGUGCCUGAGACCUUUUUUUUUUUGCUUUUUUUUUUUUUAAAGCCUGUAUUUCAUCAGCAUUACUAAUGUCUCUGUUUAAGUUGUUAUAGGUGUAAAUUGGUUGUGCUGGAGCUGGGUAAAAUCUUGAGAGAAAAAAAGGCAAAUUUUGGCAAAAUGAAAACAUUUUAUGAGUUGUUUAGAUGUGCCAAACUUUUUUUCUGGAGAGAAAAGAAAAAAACCUAGUUUGUUUCAGCAAUUUCCAAAUGAAAGGCUUUGAGAUUUUUUUCUUUGAAGCAACUUUUCACUUUGAAUGAUCUUUGGAGCUAACUUUUGUAAAGGGCUGAAGAGUCAAAGUGAAACAUUUGUUUCAGUUGACCCCAAAUGAAUUUUUUUUUUUUUGAAACUUUUUUUCAGGAUUGCCAGCGAACCGAAAAAUCAGUUAUUCACCCAGCUUUAUAUACCAUAUACUGAUAGAAACUUCAGAGCACCCCAGUGACUGUUUAUGUAGUGCAGCUGCCACUAAGCCCUCCAUUUAUAUGUUGGUAAAUUAUUAUGCUUCUCAGGGUUGUGUGAGAUAAUAAACCAUCAGUAAGCGCCUGGUUUUUCUCCCUUGGCUUAACAAGGAGGCAAUGUUUUACAAAAUAUGUUUCUAACUUUAUUCUUGUUACGUGGCAGGUAUUAACUUUGCUGGCCAAUGUACAGUUGCAGGACCUGUUUUAUGCAGAAGGCGCAAGUUAACUUCUUUGGAGACUUGGCUGUGUUAGGAGAAGGCGUUGCGUUAGGAGCUGUUUUAAAGCAGCGGAGUUGAGCUCAGCUUCGGGGAUAGCUGUACUUCAAAAAGAUAAGUGCAAUGAUCAAGCAAAAACAAAGCCCCUAAUUUCAGAGUUAACCACAGUCAAAAAACACAUUUAAAAUGUGCUUUUCCUAUGGUUACUCUGGGUGAUAGAUUAUAUAUAACAUGAAGCUAUUUAUUUAAAACAGGUUGUUUUAACCCUUUUCAGCAGGCUGCAUUUUCCCUGUAUAAAUAGUUAUCUGCAGAUGGCGCAGGGCAUUCUGGAACAACAGGGCCAAAUUGCCUGUUUUACUAAAGCUGAUGGAAAAAAGUUUAGAUUAAUUCCUGCAGAACAGAGACCAUAACCAGAAAUUGUUGGUCCUGCUCACCUGGUACAGAUUGCAAGUCUGCCAGAGAGAAAGCAGUCGAGCUAAAUAGGUUUGAUCUUGCUGUUCAUCUUAAAUCUUAAUUUAAGCUUAAAUCUUGAUGCCUCUCAGGUGAAGGCCUUUAGCAUUUAGAACAGCCCAAGAAAACAUGCUCAGUGUGUUAAGUGCUCCUGAGGUUGCAGUUUUUCCUUUGUGCCACUGUCCCACCAAGAACUUAGCAGCCAGCCAGCGUGCGUUUCAGUGCCCAGCCUUAAUGCAUAAAGCUGGGUUUGGCUGGGCGUGGGUGCUAGACAGGCUGGAGCUACCGUGCCCGCUCUGAACCAGCGCCAGGAAGGCACUGGCUAGGCCGGGAUUAACUGGAGAGGAAUUUUUCUUUUUUUUUUUUCUUUUUUUUUUUUUUUUUAAUCCUCACCUUUGGAGAGCACUGGCCCUGGCUCAGGUCAAGGCAUGAAAGGAAGUUGGUUGGAGCCAAGCAGAUUCGCUGACCCCCCAGAAGCAGCCUGUGGACUGUGGAAAGGUGGGAGCAACCUGGCUCCUAGAGCAGCAAAAUCCAGUUUUCCUUCCGUGGCUAAGGCAGCUGUGAGUCAGUGUCCUCGCGAGGUUCGUCAGCAGGAGGAACUGGUCUGAGGAACCGUGACAGCGUUGGAGCACAGCCAGCUCGGGUCUGUGCUGAUGGUGUACCCUGGGCUUUGCUUUCUCCCUGUUUGACAGCGUCAGAGGGCAGGAGACAGAGCAGCUGCUGCUUGCAGAGGCCACUACGAUCCACAGAUGCUCUAGACCUGGAGAUAUUUGGGGAGGAACUGGCUGGCUUUUGGGGACUUGUCGGCUGGAAAAGGGAGAGGGAAGGAGGACAAGAAAGAAACCUCCCUGUCCAUGAUCCCAGAGGACCUGGCAUACCCAGAGCAUCAGUCCCAGAGGAUGAGUUUUGGAAAGUCGGUAUGUGUUCCCAGCCCACUGCCACACACAGGGCUCCGUGGCCACAGCACAUGAGAUCUUGUGGCUCCUUCCCCUUCCCUGGCCAUCUCAUUAUUUGGAGGAGAAGGGGAGGUGGGAGGAAAAACCCAUGAUCUUGCUGGCCUGCUGCCAGUUGCUAAGGCAGUUUCUUCAAAAGGGAGAGGAGCUGUGGAAGGAGGGAGCUGCCUGGAGAGGAGGUAGACGAUGCAUGCAGGGACCAGGCGGAGAGAGGAGCCUGCAACAACCGAGCGAUGGAGGCAGGCAGGACCACGGAGGCUCAGCGGGAGUGGAGGUGAAGGAGCCUGGAGGAAAGGGGUGAAGUGGAAAGGGGCAGGGAGAAACAGCUCCUUGCACAGCUCCGCCAUGAAGCCAGCAUCCCUACAGACCUGUCUCGGCUGAUCAGUGAGCUCUGGUUCAGAGCAGCUCUCCAAAGCGUUGCCUGUGGCUGGAAGGGUUCUUUUUCCCCGAUGGCUUUUCCCUUCUGUGGUUUCUCUGGCGAGUACAAGAUGCAUGUGGUCUGGGGAAGCUGGCUCUGCUGUGCGGGCAGGGCCGGGAGCGGGGCUCAUUCCUGUUGCCAGCACCGGGAGGAACAUGCGUCCCUCUGGGCCUGGGUCGGAUAUGCAGGUUAGAUGCAGGGAGCAUUAUCCCUCCUGGGUGAGGGCACCUGGAGCACAGUGGGACAAGGGUGCCUUUUGCUGUCCCCUCCUUACCUUGGUGCUGCGUUUGAGUGUGUUUCUGCCCACAUGGCAUAUACUUGAGCAGGGUUUGCGUAAGCUGGGUGACUGACUGGCCACAAUACCCCAGUCUUCUAAUUAUUUGGGCCCAGAGAGAAUCUUAGUGGCUGUUGUCAGCUGUGGAGUUGCUGCACUGGCUUGUGGCGAUACUGAGCAGCAGUAGAGCUGAACGCAGACUUGGGCCAGCUCUGGGCCAUCGCUGCCAGCCAGGAGCCGCUGCUCAGCGCUGCGGUGACUUCUCUGUCUGGAAACCCCACUCCUGGGGCACACUGGCAGAUGCACCUCGGAGAGGAAGGGACUGUCCUUCAGUCCUGAGGGCACUGCAGACUCCUGUCACCCCAAGAAACGGCUAAGUGCCUUAGUCCUCUGGUGUGGUGUCGGUGUGAGAUACCUCGUCCACCGCAGGUCAGUGCCUGCACUGAACCCCAAACCUGCUUUCUGCUGCCCCCCUGCGUAGGCGAGCUCGGAGCAGGGGCUGGUUGCGGAGAAAUGCCUGGCAGCUGCCGGGGAGCCCUCGGGUCGGGGGCAGACACUAGAGGGAGAUGCAGCUCAUCGGCUCCCCACACAGGUACCCCAUUUUAAAAGCCCACAGCAAUGGUUGGCCCUUGCUGAGCUGGAAAGCUAGAGGGUUGGAGCGGGUGGGAAGCCACUCACUUAAGGAAGGGGUAAGUAGGGCUCUGUGUGUAGCCUUGACGUUUUGGGCCGGAGGCAUCUCUUACUAACAUGUCACAAGUGAGAAAAUGAGCUCUUACAAGGUAGGUGGCAACAAAACUGGAGCAGCUUUGGGAGUGCAACAGUGGCAUCUCCGUGUGUCCUGCAUCAGGUCGAUGCACUGACAACUGGAAAUGUGUGUACAGGAGCCAGCAGUCUGUCGGUGCAGGGCGAGCACCGUUGUAGCCUGGAAGGGAGCGGAGCCACCGGGGAAAGCGUUCACGCUGUAGUCUCUCGGGUGCGUUUCACCCCUUUGAGCGUGGCGCUUGCUGAGCAGACAGAAAUUCAAUCCCUGGGCUGGCUUUAAUUCUUCCACUUCUCCUUUCUUUGCGUUUCCAGUGCCCCAUGUCCCCGCAGCCAUUUGUCCCCGAGCGGCAGCUGGUGCGCAGAGGCCUGUGCCCCGCGCUGCCGCUGCUGGCUGCUGCGCCGGUAACAUGAGCCAGUUCGCUGCAGCUGAGAUGCUAUGUGCGGCAUGUCGGGACGGGGAAAACUCGCUGCUUUUCUGUCUGGUUUUUGGUUUGCUGUAAAUCCAAAAUGGAGCAGUCAUGUUUCUGUGGGUGUAGGAGGCCGGGCAAAGCGUGUGCUGGGGGGGCUGAGAGGGGGGUGACUCAUGUGCUGUGCACCACAGCCGGGGCCAGCCCAAACGGCACUCCCGGGCUGCGCUCGCUGCUUUAUUGCCACAAAAGGCUUGAGCCAAAGACAGGGGCGAGAUCUCCCUCCUGGCUGGCCUUGAAAGCGAACACCAGUCACCUGAGGGGGGGAAGAGGGCACCGAUAAAUGAAGCAGUGGAUUAAGAUAUCAGAUGUUUCCUGCUGGGAUUUAAUGCCCUAAAGGACAGUGCAUUAUAGGUAUUAAAACUGGAUAGAUUCCGCUCUCGGCUAGCCUAGCGGCACCCAGGUGAGCUGCGCGAACUGCAUGGCCCGGCUCGGAGCUGCGGCUCACGCCACAGCAGAGCGGAGCACCCCUUGGCACUCGUAGUCCAAGAACGGCCGCAGAAGGACCAGAAGGACGUGGCCACCGAGCGCACCUCUCUGUGUUGGGGACAAAAGCCUCAGGCCAGGAACAGGCCUCCCACAAGGUGAGGUUUCUCUUGGGAGGGCCAGCCCCGUCGGACUUGUCCCCCUGCGGGGAGAGACCCCUCUCCUGCUCACCUGUGGGGUCUGUCCCCCUUACUG